RNAcentral lists this long non-coding RNA (2053 nucleotides) under Triticum aestivum (bread wheat). RNAcentral describes it as "long non-coding RNA (TAES_LNC001361)". The record is from RNAcentral. Lineage: Eukaryota; Viridiplantae; Streptophyta; Magnoliopsida; Poales; Poaceae.
ACCUCCUUGACUUCUCCAGCACGCCCUCUUGCAUAGCCACCGCUCCUCUGGCUUUCCUGCUUCCGUGCGCCGUCUUUAACCUCGUGGGUUUGCGGUACUGGCGGCGGCAGAUGGGGGCGGCGGCUGGAUCAGGACUGUGAGGGCAGCAGAUUAAAGGGAGAGAAAGAAGCCCCGGUCUAGGUGAGUCCAUAUCCACUCUCUUCUCUCUACUCUGGUGUCUCUCUCUCUCGCAUGCUGGGGCGUGUCGCGGUCAGGACUCAGGAGAAGCAGACGGCCCGCGAUUGUUUCAGGGCGAGGCAGGCGGCUGCUGAAGGAUCUCAGCGCAAGCUCCUGCAACAAGUGAUGUAGCGUGAUGCCGACCUGAGUGGUUAUUCUGUCGGACUUCUGGCCGGAGAUGAUGCUCUACUGCUCCUCGUCGCGUCGUCUAAGCACCAAGAACCACGUCUAGACGAUGGGGUCGUUAAUGGGAGAUCGUCAUCUUAUCUAGGCAUUACUCUUGCACGCCGGCAUCAUGGCCAAGCCAGGCCUGCUGGUAAUUUGGUUCCCCUUUCAUACUUGGGUCAGCGGCGGCUGCUUGAGGGUGUACAGUGGAAGAUGACAUCCCCUUUUACCUUAAUUUUUGCACUAACCUCUUCUCUCUAUAUGCGACAUGAGCUUCAGGGUGAAAAGUGAGGACAGGACUUUGACAGUUAUAAUAUUUGUAGGUGCAUAUAUGAGUAGCUUCAUGAAUAAAGUAGAUGCAUAUGUAUUUCUUGGGCAAAUUUAUCUGUGUAUAAAUAGGUGCAUAUAGCAUAUACAUCUACUCAUAUAAGAAAUAGUUUUUGCCCCUUCAUGGAAAUUGGCUUCAUUGUGGCUCCAUAAUUAUUUUCUCUUUCUAUUUUUUAGUUAUCAUGUAUGUGAAUCACAAAACAAAAAGGUAGUUGUAUCCGCACAGUGGCCGUAUCCACACCACUGGUGACCCUGGUUUGACAUGGAACAGCCCUGGAUCACACUCUUGCAACAGAUGGUUUAGUUCACAUGGCUUCAGUUUUGGUUAUGUGAUGAGGCCAUUCCCUUCUCUCUUUUUCAGAAAUUUGAGUUCGAUUUUACAUUUCUUUCAGGCUAAUUAAGCAGAACUGAACGAUGUAUUUUUGAAUGCUUUGUGCAAUCUAUGUAUGUUCGUGGUUAUACAGGUUGGAGCCUGAAACUGAUAAUAAGCUCAGUCUUAAUCUAUGUAUUGCUUUGCAUGUUUGUUGGCAGAGAGAGAUAAAAAGAAAAAAAAACAUAUGGUGAUUGAAUUUACUUCUGCAUCUGUGGUAUUGUCCACCAAUACAACAUUUAUGAAAUAGUGAUACUGUGAUAGUAUCUUUAUUUGUCACACGCAUUGUGUUGCCCUGGAUAUAAUAUAGUUUGGUUAUAUCUUGGUAUUUACGAUUUAUGAAUCACUUCUUUUUUAUAGUUGCACUGCAAUUUUUAGGAAGUAUAUUUAUUGUUCCUUCCUGGUAGUCACCAGGUGGCAAUGGAGAGCAUGCUGGUGAACUUUCAACCUCAUCUGCUUUCGUGUUGAAGAUAUAUAGACAAAAGAGCAACACAUUGAGUAGUUACUUUAAAGUGAUGACUUUGUAAGUACAAUAUUUUAUAGUUCUAUAUAUGCAAGAGACGUUCAUGUUUUCUUAUAUGUUUGUACCUUAAUAGUUUUCUCACUUCUAUUUUAUUUUUCUCUCAAGACAAAAGGGCUCGGAACACGUGGCUAUUCCUUCCAUGUGGCACUAUUAAAAUAUGAAACAUCGUUAUUUUUGUAUGUAGCUGUAACUUUUAAGUGCUUAUGAGAUUGAAAUUAAUUCUAACCCCAUUCUCUGUGCUUAUGACAUACUAAUAAAUUGUAACCCAUUCUAUGUACUUAUAGUUUAAAGUGACUUUUUCAUAGUACAAUGGCGAGAGGAUUCCUUAUUUGGCCCUUUCUUAAAAUUUGUUUCCCUUUUUGGUCCAAAAAACUUGUUUCUUUCCUUUUUGACACUUAAACUUUAUUUUGUUCCUUAUAUGACAUUUCUGUUAGUUUUGACUAGUAACGUUG